AAAUGUUCGUUUUUUUCUCGCAUGAUGUCAUAUGCUUGUGCACUAAUGUAAUCUAUUUGCAUAUGUCCAUAAAACGUAUUUGCAAUUGUAACAGUAUACUUUUAAACCGUCCCCUCGCCCAUACCCGGGCGCGAACCAGGGACCUUCUGCACACAACGACAACAGUCACCCUCGAAGCAUCGUUACCCAUCGCUCCACAAAAGCCGCGGCCCUUGCAGAGCAAGUGACAUCACCGAUUGAAACGCUAUUUAGCGCGCACCGCUAACUAAGCUAGCCGUUUCACAUCCGUUACACAAUGAAUGACACAUUUUACGAGGCUACUUACAGGACGCUAUACACCAGCUGUUCGUUGAACAGUAGGCUACGAUGCUUUUGUCAUUACAAAACAAGUUAAGCAAGUUGCAUACACUAGUAUCAGAAGCCCAUCCCACCGGGCAAUAAACCACAACGCGUCUUUCUCUUUUUUUUUUAGACAGCGCGUUUAAACACUGACAGGCAGGAGGAGCUGGCCAAGACAAGGGAGCGGGUUUCUAUUAGAGGUGCAUCGCUGCCGACUCGUUUCAGUGGCGCCCAGAGACCCGAGUCACUUUUCACUUCUACCUUCACUGGAUUGCGGUUUUCACACGGACCUGUUGGAAUAUAACACGUUGAAAAUGGAAAGGAAAACGUUUUGUAUGAGAUUGUGUACUGUACUAUUUUUUACAAACUGUGUUUCAGGUAACUGAUCUUAUCCUUCAUGUAGGUAACUGAUCUUGUCCUUCAUGUAGGUAACUGAUAUUGUCCUUCAUGUAGGUAACUGAUCUUAUCCUUCAUGUAGGUAACUGAUCUUGUUAAUCAUGUAGGUAACUGAUCUUGUUAAUCAUGUAGGUAACUGAUCUUAUCCUUCAUGUAGGUAACUGAUCUUGUCAAUCAUGUAGGUAACUGAUCUUGUUAAUCAUGUAGGUAACUGAUCUUAUCCUUCAUGUAGGUAACUGAUCUUGUCCUUCAUGUAGGUAACUGAUCUUAUCCUUCAUGUAGGUAACUGAUCUUGUCCUUCAUGUAGGUAACUGAUCUUAUCCUUCAUGUAGGUAACUGAUCUUAUCCUUCAUGUAGGUAACUGAUCUUAUCCUUCAUGUAGGUAACUGAUCUUGUCCUUCAUGUAGGUAACUGAUCUUGUCCUUCAUGUAGGUAACUGAUCUUAUCCUUCAUGUAGGUAACUGAUCUUAUCCUUCAUGUAGGUAACUGAUCUUGUCCUUCAUGUAGGUAACUGAUCUUGUCCUUCAUGUAGGUAACUGAUCUUAUCCUUCAUGUAGGUAACUGAUCUUGUUAAUCAUGUAGGUAACUGAUCUUAUCCUUCAUGUAGGUAACUGAUCUUGUCCUUCAUGUAGGUAACUGAUCUUGUCCUUCAUGUAGGUAACUGAUCUUGUCCUUCAUGUAGGUAACUGAUCUUGUCCUUCAUGUAGGUAACUGAUCUUAUCCUUCAUGUAGGUAACUGAUCUUAUCCUUCAUGUAGGUAACUGAUCUUAUCCUUCAUGUAGGUAACUGAUCUUAUCCUUCAUGUAGGUAACUGAUCUUGUCCUUCAUGUAGGUAACUGAUCUUAUCCUUCAUGUAGGUAACUGAUCUUAUCCUUCAUGUAGGUAACUGAUAUUGUCCUUCAUGUAUGUAACUGAUCUUAUCCUUCAUGUAGGUAACUGAUCUUAUCCUUCAUGUAGGUAACUGAUCUUAUCCUUCAUGUAGGUAACUGAUCUUGUCCUUCAUGUAGGUAACUGAUCUUGUCCUUCAUGUAGGUAACUGAUCUUGUUAAUCAUGUAGGUAACUGAUCUUAUC
Oncorhynchus keta (chum salmon) is the source of this 1807-nucleotide long non-coding RNA. RefSeq lists it as uncharacterized. The transcript has 4 exons. The record is from RefSeq and is a predicted model, not a curated record. Lineage: Eukaryota; Metazoa; Chordata; Actinopteri; Salmoniformes; Salmonidae.